This 56-nucleotide ribosomal RNA is filed under the name Lophodermium agathidis. RNAcentral describes it as "partial 28S ribosomal RNA". The record is from RNAcentral. Lineage: Eukaryota; Fungi; Ascomycota; Leotiomycetes; Rhytismatales; Rhytismataceae.
CUCGGAUCAGGUAGGGAUACCUGCUGAACUAAGGCAUAUCAAUAAAGCGGGAGAAA